RNAcentral lists this ribosomal RNA (515 nucleotides) under uncultured bacterium. Its description in RNAcentral is "partial 16S ribosomal RNA". It matches the Rfam family "Bacterial small subunit ribosomal RNA", at positions 28 to 523 of the family's 1533-position model. The record is from RNAcentral.
GAUGAACGCUGGCGGCGCGCCUAAUACAUGCAAGUCGAGCGAAUGGAUUAAGAGCUUGCUCUUAUGAAGUUAGCGGCGGACGGGUGAGUAACACGUGGGUAACCUGCCCAUAAGACUGGGAUAACUCCGGGAAACCGGGGCUAAUACCGGAUAACAUUUUGAACCGCAUGGUUCGAAAUUGAAAGGCGGCUUCGGCUGUCACUUAUGGAUGGACCCGCGUCGCAUUAGCUAGUUGGUGAGGUAACGGCUCACCAAGGCAACGAUGCGUAGCCGACCUGAGAGGGUGAGCGGCCACACUGGGACUGAGACACGGCCCAGACUCCUGCGGGAGGCAGCAGUAGGGAAUCUUCCGCAAUGGACGAAAGUCUGACGGAGCAACGCCGCGUGAGUGAUGAAGGCUUUCGGGUCGUAAAACUCUGUUGUUAGGGAAGAACAAGUGCUAGUUGAAUAAGCUGGCACCUUGACGGUACCUAACCAGAAAGCCACGGCUAACUACGUGCCAGCCGCCGCAGUAA